CCUACGGGAGACUGCAGUGAGGAAUAUUGGUCAAUGGCCGGAAGGCUGAACCAGCCAUGCCGCGUGAAGGUCAGUGCCCUAUGGGCGUUAAACUUCUUUUGUGCGGGAGCAAUAAUGGUCACGUGUGGCCAGACGAGAGUACCGUACGAAUAAGCAUCGGCUAACACCGUGCCAGCAGCCGCGGUAAUACGGGGGAUGCAAGCGUUAUCCGGAUUUAUUGGGUUUAAAGGGUGCGUAGGCUGUGAGGUAAGUCAGCGGUGAAAUGCCCCCGCUCAACGGGGUGAAGUGCCAUUGAUACUGCCUAGCUGGAAUGCGGGUGCCGUGGGAGGAAUGUGUGGUGUAGCGGUGAAAUGCAUAGAUAUCACACAGAACACCGAUUGCGAAGGCAUCUCACGAAUCCGCGAUUGACGCUGAUGCACGAAAGCGUGGGUAUCAAACAGGAUUAGAUACCCUAGUAGUC
RNAcentral lists this ribosomal RNA (460 nucleotides) under uncultured bacterium. Its description in RNAcentral is "partial 16S ribosomal RNA". It matches the Rfam family "Bacterial small subunit ribosomal RNA", at positions 338 to 795 of the family's 1533-position model. The record is from RNAcentral.